Molecule: Y RNA, 106 nt
Filed under: Microcebus murinus (gray mouse lemur)
Lineage: Eukaryota; Metazoa; Chordata; Mammalia; Primates; Cheirogaleidae
Description: Y RNA (ENSMICG00000044638.1)
Rfam family: Y RNA
About the family: Y RNAs are components of the Ro ribonucleoprotein particle (Ro RNP), in association with Ro60 and La proteins. The Y RNAs and Ro60 and La proteins are well conserved, but the function of the Ro RNP is not known.
Source: Rfam by way of RNAcentral
GGCUGGUCCAAGUGCAGUGGUGUUUACAGCUGACCAAUUGAUCAUAACCAGUUACAGAUUCCUUUGUUCCUUCUCCAUUCCCACUGCUUCACUUGACCAGCCUUAA